Molecule: transfer RNA, 85 nt
Organism: Felis catus (domestic cat)
Lineage: Eukaryota; Metazoa; Chordata; Mammalia; Carnivora; Felidae
Rfam family: tRNA
About the family: Transfer RNA (tRNA) molecules are approximately 80 nucleotides in length. Their secondary structure includes four short double-helical elements and three loops (D, anti-codon, and T loops).
Source: Rfam
GCCUGGGUGGCUCAGUUAGUUGAGCAGCUGACUUUGGCUCAGGUCAUGAACUUACGGUCUGUGGGUUCGAGCCCCGCGUCGGGCU